Molecule: ribosomal RNA, 382 nt
Filed under: uncultured myxomycete
Lineage: Eukaryota; Evosea; Eumycetozoa
Description: SSU rRNA
Rfam family: Eukaryotic small subunit ribosomal RNA
Source: RNAcentral
UCUCUCUGAAUCUGCGAACGGCUCCGCAAACCAGUUGUAAACCAAAGCAAGCAUACUCGUGGCUUGCCCUUCACGGGGUAGGUUGCGGGUGAUACGGAUAACCCUGGUAAUUCUGAGGCUAAUACGAGACUAUAAUCCCUGGCGGACCGGGCAACUGGGAAGCUGGGGGGCGUGCGAUCUAUUUGCAAGACGAUACCAGGAAGGGGUGCACGCUCUGACCGCGAUAAAGACGGUUCCGGUAAACCUUCGGGCGAGCUGGUUCCGAGCGGCUCUUGCGAUGUGCUUCUGACCUAUCAACUAGAUGGCAGCGUAACGGACAUGCCAUGGUUACAACGGGUACAGAGGAUUAGGGUUCGAUCCUGGAGAGUGGGCCUGAGAGAUU